AUGAAGGUGCAAUCUUUGCUUUUCCUUCAACAUUCUCACCCAGCAAAAGUUGAGAGGAAGAGAUGCCGCGUCACAGUUGGUUCCUGUAUGAUGUUGCGGGAAUCUGCUGCAACUACAGCACAACCCUCCUCCCGCGACCCUUGCCUGCCGCCGCCACCCACCCUCUCCCUCUCCCGCGCGGUGCCUAUGAUGGGAACGAGCACGGUGGCCAGGGCGGAGUUCCCUGUUCAGGCGGCGGCAGCGGCGGCCACCUCCAUAGCCGGAGGGUCAGCUGGGAUUGGUCUCCGGCGUGCUCUCAGGCGAUGGUUGCUGGCGGCGGUCGUGGAUCUGAUGCUCGUUCAGAUCCAUCGCGAAGUGGCCCUUGGCCGGCCGGCAGCACAUAGAAGGGUUGGUGAGGGGCGGCUGGAGGUCAUCCUCGACCGGAGUUCCGGCGGCUGCGUGCGUCUUCACAGCGCGGCUUCGCAUGGAUCCCAUCAACUACGGAGUUGGGUGGUACCAUUGUCGGUGAAAAUCAUGUCGACUUCGGUCAUGGCGAACGAUGAUGGCAUCGCUUUGAUGCCGUUUUCUUGUCCAGACAUCGUUGUUGUAGUCUGUGUUACCUCACUCGGGCUGCUACGGGAAAACUCUAGAGUUGGUUCUCUCCGAUCAGUUGAUGUCGACGUCUUUGAUGUUGUUUUCCCUCCUUGGGGCAUCGUUUUAGAGCGGGUGCUGGCUGAAGUGGCCAAGAGGUGGAGCUAUGUUGGAUCUACUGCUUCGACGACAGCAAGUUUUAGCCCGUGGCGCAAUGGAGUCUUGGCGAUAGAUAAGCGCAGUGUGGUGGAGCUGUCAUGCAUCGUGGUGGCGUCGACUACAGUUGGGCCCGGCAAGGUCAAUAUGUUGAUCCCUUCUAAAGAUGGGACGAAGGAAGAUGGCGGCGACGGCGGAUUUCGAGUGUGUGCAUGCUAUGUGUGUUGA
This 954-nucleotide ribosomal RNA is filed under the name Triticum aestivum (bread wheat). RNAcentral describes it as "partial small subunit ribosomal RNA". Lineage: Eukaryota; Viridiplantae; Streptophyta; Magnoliopsida; Poales; Poaceae. The record is from RNAcentral.